Molecule: ribosomal RNA, 468 nt
Filed under: uncultured bacterium
Lineage: Bacteria
Description: partial 16S ribosomal RNA
Rfam family: Bacterial small subunit ribosomal RNA
Source: RNAcentral
GACGAACGCUGGCGGCGUGCUUAACACAUGCAAGUCGAACGGAAAGGCCCUGCUUUUGUGGGUUGCUCGAGUGGCGAACGGGGGAGUAACACGUGAGUAACCUGCCCUUGACUUUGGGAUAACUUCAGGAAACUGGGGCUAAUACCGGAUAGGAGCUCCUGCUGCAUGGUGGGGGUUGGAAAGUUUCGGCGGUUGGGGAUGGACUCGCGGCUUAUCAGCUUGUUGGUGGGGUAGUGGCUUACCAAGGCUUUGACGGGUAGCCGGCCUGAGAGGGUGACCGGGCACAUUGGGCCUGCGAGACGGACCAGACUCCUACGGGCGGCAGCAGUGGGGAACAUUGCACAAUGGGGGGAAGCCUGAGGCAGCAACGUCGCGUGCGGGAUGACGGCCUACGGGUUGUAAACAGCUUUCGCAUGUGACGAAGCGUGCGUGACAGUAAUGGGUCAAGAAGCAACGGCUAACUACGUG